UGCUGCCUUCUACUGCCUUUCUCUCCUGUCUGCAGAGGGAAAGAUAGAUGUGGGAGCAGUGAAUUAGCUUCAACUUCAAACAUGUGGAUGAAGAAAACAUGUCUGUCAUCCCUUGGUGUCCACAUUCAAUGAAUCCAGUCUGUCAGGAUGAAUAGACACAGAGCAUAAGCUUCACAAGGUAUGAAUAUGAUAUGAUGGCUUGAGACACAUGAAUGGUGUUACAAGUUAAAAAGGGCUCCCAGGCACUAAUGUGGAAAUUUGACAGUCAUGUAAGCUGAAUUUUCAGUGUCACUGAAUAUCUGAUGAUCAUGUUGAAAUCCUAGGCAUGAAUU
This 332-nucleotide long non-coding RNA is filed under the name Callithrix jacchus (white-tufted-ear marmoset). RNAcentral's name for it is "lncRNA (ENSCJAG00000076567.1)". The record is from RNAcentral. Lineage: Eukaryota; Metazoa; Chordata; Mammalia; Primates; Cebidae.